UCACAUUGAAAAACCAGUUCCCGUAUGAUCACCGCAGUUAAGCAAUGUCGAGCCUCGUCAGUACGGAGAUGGGUCACUGCUUGGGAAUAUCAAGUGAUGUAA
Acanthosepion pharaonis is the source of this 102-nucleotide non-coding RNA. The record is from the annotation of a GenBank genome assembly. Lineage: Eukaryota; Metazoa; Mollusca; Cephalopoda; Sepiida; Sepiidae.